This is a non-coding RNA of Otolemur garnettii (small-eared galago), 420 nucleotides long. Lineage: Eukaryota; Metazoa; Chordata; Mammalia; Primates; Galagidae. The record is from the annotation of a RefSeq genome assembly.
AUGGAAGACACAAGAUUCUGCCCUAGACUUGAAAUGGGUCCCUGGCUCUUCUAUGUGGCCCUGUGUCUCCUGGCAGCAGGACACACGGAUGCUGGAAUCACCCAGAACCCAAGAUACAAGGUUGCAGAGACAGGAAAGCAAGUGACACUGGAAUGUCAUCAGACUAAUAAGCAUGACUAUAUGUACUGGUACCGACAGGACCUGGGACAUGGGCUGAAGCUGAUCCAUUACUCAGUUGGUGCUACUAUCACUGAUAAAGGGGAAGUCCCCGAUGGCUACAGUGUCUCCAGACCAAGCAUAGAGAAUUUCAACCUCUCUCUAGCGUCUGCCACCCACUCCCAGACAUCUGUGUACUUCUGUGCCAGCAGUGAUCCACAGUGCUGCACGGCCGCCUCCUCUCUGCACAGAAAGGGCAAUUAG